This 530-nucleotide ribosomal RNA is filed under the name Acrophylla wuelfingi. RNAcentral's name for it is "partial large subunit ribosomal RNA". It matches the Rfam family "Bacterial large subunit ribosomal RNA", at positions 1807 to 2608 of the family's 2925-position model. Lineage: Eukaryota; Metazoa; Arthropoda; Insecta; Phasmatodea; Phasmatidae. The record is from RNAcentral.
UUAAAAACAUCUUUUCUUGUUAUAUUUUGAGAUUUGACCUGCUCUAUGACUUUAGUUAAAUGGCCGCGGUAUCUUAACCGUGCAAAGGUAGCAUAAUCAUUAGUCUAUUAAUUGUGGACUUGUAUGAAUGGUUGGACGAAAUAUUAACUGUCUCAUUUAUUAUUUCUAAAAUUUAAAUUUUAAGUUAAAAUGCUUAAAUGUUUUUAUUGGACGAGAAGACCCUAUAGAUCUUUAUUUAUUUAAUUAUUUAUUUAUUUUGGUUUAAGUUAAUUUUAUAUAAUUAUAUAUUUUUAGUUGGGGUGACUUGGAGAUAUUAUUUAACUCUUUAUUUUAUUAUUCAUUUAUUUAUGUUUUAUUGACCUUUUAUUAAUGUUAUAAGAUAUAGAUACCUUAGGGAUAACAGCGUAAUUCUUUUUAAGAGUUCAAAUCGACAAUGGAGAUUGCGACCUCGAUGUUGGAUUAAGAUUAUAGUUAGGUGUAGAUGUUUAACUAUUAGGUCUGUUCGACCUUUAAAUUCUUACAUGAUCUGA